UACGAAGGGGGCUAGCGUUGCUCGGAAUCACUGGGCGUAAAGCGCACGUAGGCGGACUCUUAAGUCGGUGGUGAAAUCCUGGAGCUCAACUCCAGAACUGCCUUCGAUACUGGGAGUCUCGAGUCCGGGAGAGGUGAGUGGAAUUCCUGGUGUAGCGGUGAAAUGCGCAGAUAUCAGGAAGAACACCCGUGGCGAAAGCGGCUCUCUGGAACGGUACUGACGCUGAGACGCGAAAGCGUGGGGAGCGAACAGG
RNAcentral lists this ribosomal RNA (253 nucleotides) under uncultured bacterium. Its description in RNAcentral is "partial 16S ribosomal RNA". It matches the Rfam family "Bacterial small subunit ribosomal RNA", at positions 524 to 776 of the family's 1533-position model. The record is from RNAcentral.